UGGGGAAUAUUGCACAAUGGGCGAAAGCCUGAUGCAGCAACGCCGCGUGAGGGACGACGGCCUUCGGGUUGUAAACCUCUUUUAGCAAGGAAGAAGCGAAAGUGACGGUACUUGCAGAAAAAGCGCCGGCUAACUACGUGCCAGCAGCCGCGGUAAUACGUAGGGCGCAAGCGUUAUCCGGAAUUAUUGGGCGUAAAGAGCUCGUAGGCGGUUUGUCGCGUCUGCUGUGAAAAACCCGAGGCUCAACCUCGGGCCUGCAGUGGGUACGGGCAGACUAGAGUGCGGUAGGGGAGAUUGGAACUCCUGGUGUAGCGGUGGAAUGCGCAGAUAUCAGGAAGAACACCGAUGGCGAAAGGCAGAUCUCUGGGCCGUAACUGACGCUGAGGAGCGAAAAGGGUGGGGAGCAAAACAGGCUUAGAAUGACCCUGGUAGUCCACCCCGUAAAACGUUGGGAACUAAGUUGUGGGGUCCAUUCCACGGAUUCCGUGACGCAGCUAACGCAUUAAGUUCCCCGCCUGGGGAGUACGGCCGCAAGGCUAAAAACUC
Molecule: ribosomal RNA, 546 nt
Filed under: uncultured bacterium
Lineage: Bacteria
Description: partial 16S ribosomal RNA
Rfam family: Bacterial small subunit ribosomal RNA
Source: RNAcentral